This 64-nucleotide transfer RNA is filed under the name Bemisia tabaci. Its description in RNAcentral is "tRNA-Gln". Lineage: Eukaryota; Metazoa; Arthropoda; Insecta; Hemiptera; Aleyrodidae. The record is from RNAcentral.
UUAACUUAAGUUUAAAACAGUAACUUUUGAAGUUAUAUAAAUUAAUUAAUUUUAAUAAGUUAAC